UUAAGUUCAGCGGGUAGUCCUACCUGAUUUGAGGUCAAAUUGUCAAAAGUUGUCCUUGCGGACGGUUAGAAGCAAGUCUAAACCCCAUCCACGGCGUAGAUAAUUAUCACACCAAUAGACGGAGUUCAAUAUGAACUCGCUAAUGCAUUUCAGAGGAGCUGACCGCUCAGAGAGCAGCCGGCACGACCUCCACAUCCAAG
RNAcentral lists this unclassified non-coding RNA (200 nucleotides) under Coprinellus sp. RNAcentral describes it as "partial internal transcribed spacer 2". Lineage: Eukaryota; Fungi; Basidiomycota; Agaricomycetes; Agaricales; Psathyrellaceae. The record is from RNAcentral.